RNAcentral lists this ribosomal RNA (1293 nucleotides) under metagenome. Its description in RNAcentral is "bacterial LSU rRNA". It matches the Rfam family "Bacterial large subunit ribosomal RNA", at positions 1615 to 2925 of the family's 2925-position model. The record is from RNAcentral.
AGCUCGCAAUGUAAUAAAUAAAAAGUGCCUGUACCAUAACCGACACAGGUGGGUAGGUAGAGUAUACUAAGGGGCGCGAGAUAACUCUCUCUAAGGAACUCGGCAAAAUGACUCCGUAACUUCGGGAGAAGGAGUGCCUUAUUUAUAAGGUUGCAAUAACAAGAUCCAAGCAACUGUUUAUCAAAAACACAGGUCUCCGCUAAGUCGUAAGACGAUGUAUGGGGGCUGACGCCUGCCCAGUGCCAGAAGGUUAAAGAAGUUGGUUAGUGUAUGCGAAGCUGAUGACUGAAGCCCUGGUGAACGGCGGCCGUAACGAUAACGGUCCUAAGGUAGCGAAAUUCCUUGUCGGGUAAGUUCCGACCCGCACGAAAGGCGUAAUGAUUUGGAUACUGUCUCGGAGAGAGGCUCGGUGAAAUAGACUUGUCUGUGAAGAUGCGGACUACCUGCACCAGGACAGAAAGACCCUAUGAAGCUUUACUGUAACUUGAAAUUGGAAUUGGACUUUGCUUGCGCAGUAUAGGUGGGAAGCGUUGAAGAUAUUCUUGCGGGAGUAUUGGAGCUAUCAGUGAGAUACCACUCUUGUAAUGUUAGAUUUCUAACUUUGAACCAUAAUCUGGUCAAAGAACAGUUUCAGGUGGGCAGUUUGACUGGGGCGGUCGCCUCCCAAAUGGUAACGGAGGCGUACAAAGGUUUCCUCUGAACGGAUAGAAAUCGUAUCUAGAGUGUAAAGGCAUAAGGAAGCUUGACUGUGAGACCUACAAGUCGAGCAGGGACGAAAGUCGGUCUUAGUGAUCUGACGGUACUGAGUGGAAAGGCCGUCACUCAACGGAUAAAAGUUACUCUAGGAUAACAGGCUGAUCUCCCCCAAGAGUUCACAUCGACGGGGAGGUUUGGCACCUCGAUGUCGGCUCAUCGCAUCCUGGGGCGGUAGUACGUCCCAAGGGUUGGGCUGUUCGCCCAUGAAAGCGGUACGCGAGCUGGGUUCAGAACGUCGUGAGACAGUUCGGUCCAUAUCCGGUGUAGGCGUUAGAAUAUUGAGAGGAGCCUUCUUUAGUACGAGAGGACCGAGAAGGACACACCGCUGGUGUACCAGUUAUCGUGCCAACGGUAAACGCUGGGUAGCUAUGUGUGGAGUGGAUAACCGCUGAAAGCAUCUAAGUGGGAAGCCCACCUCAAGAUGAGUACUCUCACCAUAUUGGUUAAGGUCACGGGAAGAACACCCGUUGAUAGGCAUCAGGUGGAAGUGCAGUAAUGUAUGAAGCCGAAGUGUACUAACAGACCGAGGGCUUGACC